This 497-nucleotide ribosomal RNA is filed under the name uncultured bacterium. RNAcentral's name for it is "partial 16S ribosomal RNA". It matches the Rfam family "Bacterial small subunit ribosomal RNA", at positions 28 to 507 of the family's 1533-position model. The record is from RNAcentral.
GAUGAACGCUGGCGGCGUGCCUAAUACAUGCAAGUCGAGCGAACGGACGAGAAGCUUGCUUUUCUGAUGUUAGCGGCGGACGGGUGAGUAACAUGUGGAUAACCUACCUAUAAGACUGGGAUAACUUCGGGAAACCGGAGCUAAUACCGGAUAAUAUUUUGAACCGCAUGGUUCAAAAGUGAAAGACGGUCUUGCUGUCACUUAUAGAUGGAUCCGCGCUGCAUUAGCUAGUUGGUAAGGUAACGGCUUACCAAGGCAACGAUGCAUAGCCGACCUGAGAGGGUGAUCGGCCGCACUGGAGCUGAGACGCGGUCCAGACUCCUACGGGAGGCAGCAGUAGGGAAUCUUCCGCAAUGGGCGAAAGCCUGACGGAGCAACGCCGCGUGAGUGAUGAAGGUCUUCGGAUCGUAAAACUCUGUUAUUAGGGAAGAACAUAUGUGUAAGUAACUGUGCACAUCUUGACGGUACCUAAUCAGAAAGCCACGGCUAACUACGUG